GUGUUAUGUUUUUUGUCCUUUAACUAAUUGGAUGAGAUAUCAUACCACACCACACCAAAACAAAUUAGUCAACUAGCUAGUGGUGAGAAAAAGAAAAAGAAGUCAUUUUGUACUACUACUACUACUGCCCACAUGAUGCCACAGUCCUCCAUUAUCUCCUUCCCUUUCUUUCUUCGCCUACAUCAUAUUUUCUCUAUCUGUCAAAAUUUUCGUUUCUACAAUGGGGUUUUGUGUAUGUUCUGUCCACUGCAUGUACUCAGAGAAAAAAAGUAAAAGAUCUUUUUCCUCUCCUACUGGCUACUAGUAGUACUAGAGUUUAGGGUAUGGUGUACUCCAACACAAUUCAGACACACAUAAAACCCUAAUGGCCGCUAUCAGAUUCAGAAUUUAGACGUCGUGAGUUUAAGUCAGAAGAUGAAUGUUAUCUAGGUUUUCCCAUUAAAAGGGAUUGUGUUUUGGUUUUAGAUCUGAAUUUUAGCAUGAUAAUGUUUGUGGUUGGGUGUGAAGCAAAUACUAAGAGAAUAGNNN
RNAcentral lists this long non-coding RNA (528 nucleotides) under Nicotiana benthamiana. Its description in RNAcentral is "long non-coding RNA (NBEN_LNC041288)". The record is from RNAcentral. Lineage: Eukaryota; Viridiplantae; Streptophyta; Magnoliopsida; Solanales; Solanaceae.